CCUACGGGAGGCAGCAGUAGGGAAUAUUGCUCAAUGGGGGAAACCCUGAAGCAGCAACGCCGCGUGGAGGAUGAAGGUUUUCGGAUUGUAAACUCCUUUUGUUAGAGAAGAUAAUGACGGUAUCUAACGAAUAAGCACCGGCUAACUCCGUGCCAGCAGCCGCGGUAAUACGGAGGGUGCAAGCGUUACUCGGAAUCACUGGGCGUAAAGAGCGCGUAGGCGGGAUAGCAAGUCAGAUGUGAAAUCCUAUGGCUUAACCAUAGAACUGCAUUUGAAACUGUUAUUCUAGAGUAUGGGAGAGGUAGGCGGAAUUCUUGGUGUAGGGGUAAAAUGCGUAGAGAUCAAGAGGAAUACUCAUUGCGAAGGCGACCUGCUAGAACAUAACUGACGCUGAUGCGCGAAAGCGUGGGGAGCAAACAGGAUUAGAUACCCCGGUAGUC
Molecule: ribosomal RNA, 440 nt
Filed under: uncultured bacterium
Lineage: Bacteria
Description: partial 16S ribosomal RNA
Rfam family: Bacterial small subunit ribosomal RNA
Source: RNAcentral